RNAcentral lists this ribosomal RNA (135 nucleotides) under uncultured bacterium. RNAcentral describes it as "partial 16S ribosomal RNA". It matches the Rfam family "Bacterial small subunit ribosomal RNA", at positions 355 to 507 of the family's 1533-position model. The record is from RNAcentral.
UGGGGAAUAUUGCACAAUGGGGGAAACCCUGAUGCAGCGACGCCGCGUGAGUGAAGAAGUACUCCGGUAUGUAAAGCUCUAUCAGCAAGGAAGAAAAUGACGGUACUUGACUAGGAAGCCCCGGCUAACUACGUG